RNAcentral lists this ribosomal RNA (609 nucleotides) under uncultured bacterium. RNAcentral describes it as "bacterial SSU rRNA". It matches the Rfam family "Bacterial small subunit ribosomal RNA", at positions 329 to 929 of the family's 1533-position model. The record is from RNAcentral.
UUCCAGACUCCUACGGGAGGCAGCAGUAGGGAAUCUUCGGCAAUGGACGGAAGUCUGACCGAGCAACGCCGCGUGAGUGAAGAAGGUUUUCGGAUCGUAAAGCUCUGUUGUAAGAGAAGAACGAGUGUGAGAGUGGAAAGUUCACACUGUGACGGUAUCUUACCAGAAAGGGACGGCUAACUACGUGCCAGCAGCCGCGGUAAUACGUAGGUCCCGAGCGUUGUCCGGAUUUAUUGGGCGUAAAGCGAGCGCAGGCGGUUAGAUAAGUCUGAAGUUAAAGGCUGUGGCUUAACCAUAGUACGCUUUGGAAACUGUUUAACUUGAGUGCAAGAGGGGAGAGUGGAAUUCCAUGUGUAGCGGUGAAAUGCGUAGAUAUAUGGAGGAACACCGGUGGCGAAAGCGGCUCUCUGGCUUGUAACUGACGCUGAGGCUCGAAAGCGUGGGGAGCAAACAGGAUUAGAUACCCUGGUAGUCCACGCCGUAAACGAUGAGUGCUAGGUGUUAGACCCUUUCCGGGGUUUAGUGCCGCAGCUAACGCAUUAAGCACUCCGCCUGGGGAGUACGACCGCAAGGUUGAAACUCAAAGGAAUUGACGGGGGCCCGCACAAG